AUUGAACGCUGGCGGCAGGCCUAACACAUGCAAGUCGAGCGGAUGACGGGAGCUUGCUCCUUGAUUCAGCGGCGGACGGGUGAGUAAUGCCUAGGAAUCUGCCUGGUAGUGGGGGACAACGUUUCGAAAGGAACGCUAAUACCGCAUACGUCCUACGGGAGAAAGCAGGGGACCUUCGGGCCUUGCGCUAUCAGAUGAGCCUAUGUCGGAUUAGCUAGUUGGUGGGGUAAUGGCUCACCAAGGCGACGAUCCGGAACUGGUCUGAGAGGAUGAGCAGUCGCACGGGAACUGAAACACGAGCCAGCAUCCUACGGGAGGCAGCAGGGGGGAAUAUUGGACAAUGGGCGAAAGCCUGAUCCAGCCAUGCCGCGUGUGUUAAGAAGGUCUUCGGAUUGUAAAGCACUUUAAGUUGGGAGGAAGGGCAGUAAGCUAAUACCUUGCUGUUUUGACGUUACCGACAGAAUAAGCACCGGCUAACUCUGUGCCAGCAGCCGCCGUAA
This 500-nucleotide ribosomal RNA is filed under the name uncultured bacterium. RNAcentral describes it as "partial 16S ribosomal RNA". It matches the Rfam family "Bacterial small subunit ribosomal RNA", at positions 30 to 523 of the family's 1533-position model. The record is from RNAcentral.